AGUGAACGCUGGCGGUAGGCCUAACACAUGCAAGUCGAACGGCAGCACAGUUAGAGCUUGCUCUUACGGGUGGCGAGUGGCGGACGGGUGAGGAAUACAUCGGAAUCUACUUUUUCGUGGGGGAUAACGUAGGGAAACUUACGCUAAUACCGCAUACGACCUACGGGUGAAAGCAGGGGAUCUUCGGACCUUGCGCGAUUGAAUGAGCCGAUGUCGGAUUAGCUAGUUGGCGGGGUAAAGGCCCACCAAGGCGACGAUCCGUAGCUGGUCUGAGAGGAUGAUCAGCCACACUGGAACUGGGACGCGGUCCAGACUCCUACGGGAGGCAGCAGUGGGGAAUAUUGGACAAUGGGCGCAAGCCUGAUCCAGCCAUACCGCGUGGGUGAAGAAGGCCUUCGGGUUGUAAAGCCCUUUUGUUGGGAAAGAAAAGCAGCAGGUUAAUACCCCGCUGUUCUGACGGUACCCAAAGAAUAAGCACCGGCUAACUUCGUG
RNAcentral lists this ribosomal RNA (492 nucleotides) under uncultured bacterium. Its description in RNAcentral is "partial 16S ribosomal RNA". It matches the Rfam family "Bacterial small subunit ribosomal RNA", at positions 29 to 507 of the family's 1533-position model. The record is from RNAcentral.